CGCACAUUGCGCCCCUUGGUAUUCCGGGGGGCAUGCCUGUUCGAGCGUCAUUUCAACCCUCAAGCACUGCUUGGUAUUGGGCUUUCAUCAGUAACAUGAUGGGCCUCAAAGUCAGUGGCGGCGCCGCUGGGUCCCGAACGUAGUAAUAUAUUUCGUUACGGGUGCCUCGCGUGCUUCUGCCAUUAAACCCCAACUUUCUAAGUUUGACCUCGGAUCAGGUAGGGAUACCCGCUGAACUUAA
This 241-nucleotide unclassified non-coding RNA is filed under the name Lanzia sp. RNAcentral describes it as "partial contains 5.8S ribosomal RNA, internal transcribed spacer 2, and large subunit ribosomal RNA". Lineage: Eukaryota; Fungi; Ascomycota; Leotiomycetes; Helotiales; Rutstroemiaceae. The record is from RNAcentral.